This 385-nucleotide ribosomal RNA is filed under the name uncultured bacterium. Its description in RNAcentral is "bacterial SSU rRNA". It matches the Rfam family "Bacterial small subunit ribosomal RNA", at positions 137 to 507 of the family's 1533-position model. The record is from RNAcentral.
CGGGGAUAACAUUACGGGAAACGGGUGACUAAUACCGCAUAAUAUCUUCUUCCGCAUGGAAGAAGAUUGAAAGACGGCUCUGCUGUCACUUAUAGAUGACCUUGCGGUGCAUUAGUUAGUUGGUGGGGUAACGGCCUACCAAGACGAUGAUGCAUAGCCGACCUGAGAGGGUGAUCGGCCACAUUGGGACUGAGACACGGCCCAAACUCCCACGGGAGGCAGCAGUAGGGAAUCUUCCGCAAUGGGCGAAAGCCUGACGGAGCAAUGCCGCGUGAGUGAAGAAGGCCUUCGGGUCGUAAAACUCUGUUAUAAGAGAAGAACAAAUUGUAGAGUAACUGCUACAGUCUUGACGGUAUCUUAUCAGAAAGCCACGGCUAACUACGUG